This 343-nucleotide long non-coding RNA is filed under the name Nicotiana benthamiana. RNAcentral's name for it is "long non-coding RNA (NBEN_LNC023637)". The record is from RNAcentral. Lineage: Eukaryota; Viridiplantae; Streptophyta; Magnoliopsida; Solanales; Solanaceae.
AGAAAAAUAGGGAGAUACAUUCUGAUAGCUAAAAAAAAUGUUAAGAAAUAUUCUGAAAAAUCCUGGGGAUAUACGUAGAAUAUACCAGGUAUACCUAGAAUAUACAAAGAUCAGAAGUAGAAAUCGAAAAGAUCUUGAGAAAUUUAGUAGAAACGUUUUAAGCAGGUUUGGGUCAGGGUUUCCAGAGAAUUGAUUCCUGCGUUCUUGUUGCAUUACUGCUGUUAUUGUUGUUGUGUUACUACUGCUGACUACUCAUCCUCCUUCUAUUUUCCAUUAUCCAGGGACACACUCUGAAAUCUUAUACUAAUGUAAAUCUGAAGUUGGAAAUGAAAUAAAAUGCUGU